AUGGGGUGUAACUUAUGGAAAGUUUUUUUAAAAGAAGACCAGCCCCUCUUCCUCCUGCUUUCUCCCUGGAAUGGAGACAUGAUGGCUGCUGAAGCUCCUUCCAUCUUGCACCAUGAGAUUGAGUGCAUUUGGGGUUUUGACCUUGCACUGCUAUACCGAGAUUCAGCAGAGGCUAACUACCCCCAAGACUCCUUCCAGAGAACUGGGACCUCAGGAUCAUCUUCAACACCUUCACAGAGAGUACGGAGACAAAGCCCUUGCCACAGAGACCCGCCAUGCCACAACACCAGGUGGAAACGCACCAUUGCUUGAGUUGGUGAGUGAAGAGGGCCGUUGUUUGUGUUAUUUGAGGGCUGUCGAGGGAAGAGAAUUGGGUAAGCUCAUUUAGAACUUACUAGAACACUUCUCAAAAAGAUGUCUCAGCGUGGAGCAUAGUUAAGACAUAUACUUAAGAGUAAUCAUCUCCAAAUGAGUGAUUUUUGUUUUCUUGUUUAUGUCCUUAUUUACUUGAGUUGUCCUGUCUCAAGGAAUAAAGAAGGCAUUUAUGUAAUAAAAGUGGUGUGAGUCACCCUUUCAAACCUUUAAGAUUGGUUUUCAAACUGUUAAAAAUUCUUGUAGGUCCACCAUGAAAGUUGCCAUAGAAGCCUGAAGUUACCACAGCUUAUAAGGAAGUGGUUAUUGAUUAUGACGGAUGGAGAAAGUGUAAGCUGCCUGUGUUUCAUUCAGACUCAGACUAGCUCUGGUUAGAGACGUCAACUCAAAGGAGGAAAAGAGGAAGUUCUGCAAAAAUAAAUUCAAGGGUCAACUAGCAGUGGAUAAAAACACAACUAUGAUCUCUGUGACUCUUUCCUCUUUUAUCUGACAUUUUUUCACUUCUGCAUGAUAAAGAAAAUAGAGACAUGGCAUGCUGGAAAGAAAACUAAAGCUGUUUCUUUAAUUAAGUCCACUAACCUCGGAAGGAAGUCUGAAGUGUUCUUGUGGCAUCGACAGACGAAUGAUAGUAACUGCUAAGACAGAAACUACUUGGAAAAACUGUUGAUUUUAGAUUCAGAGAAAAUGAAUAAGGAAAAGUUAAAGAUUGAUGAGAAAGGGAUAAAAUGUGCUAUGAGAAUUUUUUCUAAAAUUCAUGUUUAAAAAAAAAUGAGUUUAUAAUGGAUUUUAGGUGAAAUUCCUUUAAUAAAGAGUUACAUGUUUCCUGACUAUGUAUAAGAAAUUCAUGAUUGUGACUCUGAGAGACUUGAAUAAAAGGACCCGCAUGUCUUUUGCCCUGUGAUGGCCUGCCUAAAUUGCAGGGCUAUAAAAAGGAAAACCACCUUUAAAAGUUUCAUCCCUAAGUUGACUUUGUCUUACAGAAGAAUUUCAUGUGCAUGCUAAAACACAUACAUAUAGCAUAGAAUGUAUAUAUAAUUUCCUGAUAAAAUCUUCUGUUUUAGUGUACUUACAUCUGGGUACAUAACCUCCCCAUAUCUCUUUGGUAUUCUUAUUUGUUCUGCUUUUCCAUUUUACAUAUUUUCCCCUAAGUGCCAAACAUUAAUAAAAUUGCUAGCAUUGAUUAUUUUUCCUUCACUAAUACAUCCCUUUGAGCCUGUUUCCCCAGCAACAAAUAACUGGGGACAACCUACCCUUUGCUGACACAUGAGAAUCCU
This 1646-nucleotide long non-coding RNA is filed under the name Papio anubis (olive baboon). RNAcentral's name for it is "lncRNA (ENSPANG00000048903.1)". The record is from RNAcentral. Lineage: Eukaryota; Metazoa; Chordata; Mammalia; Primates; Cercopithecidae.